This is a small nuclear RNA of Cricetulus griseus (Chinese hamster), 164 nucleotides long. Its record names the gene U1. It matches the Rfam family "U1 spliceosomal RNA". From Rfam's summary of the family: U1 is a small nuclear RNA (snRNA) component of the spliceosome (involved in pre-mRNA splicing). Lineage: Eukaryota; Metazoa; Chordata; Mammalia; Rodentia; Cricetidae. The record is from Ensembl.
AUGCUAAAAGCAGGGGAGAUACCAUGAUCACGAAGGUAGUUUUCACAGGGAAAAGCUUAUCCAUUGUACUCUGAAUAUGGUGACUCCUGUGAUUUUCCCCAAUGAAGGAAAUUUAACCGCAAAAUCUGUGGUAGUGGGGGGGACUGCGUUUAUGCUCUCUCUUG